UACGUAGGGAGCGAGCGUUAUCCGGAAUUAUUGGGCGUAAAGCGUGCGUAGGCGGUUUUUUAAGUCAAAUGUGAAAGCCCACAGCUUAACUGUGGAGGGUCAUUUGAAACUGGUUGGCUAGAGUGCAGGAGAGGGUAGUGGAAUUCCAGGUGUAGGGGUGAAAUCCGUAGAGAUCACCAGGAAUACCCAUUGCGAAGGCGAUCUGCUGGAACUCAACUGACGCUGAGGCACGAAAGCGUGGGGAGCAAAC
Molecule: ribosomal RNA, 250 nt
Filed under: uncultured bacterium
Lineage: Bacteria
Description: partial 16S ribosomal RNA
Rfam family: Bacterial small subunit ribosomal RNA
Source: RNAcentral